Molecule: long non-coding RNA, 546 nt
Filed under: Homo sapiens (human)
Lineage: Eukaryota; Metazoa; Chordata; Mammalia; Primates; Hominidae
Description: non-protein coding lnc-CHRNA4-4:1
Source: RNAcentral
GAUGCCGAGGGAGGAGGCUUUUUCGAUUCCCGCACUGCGAGGUACUCAGCAGCGAUGAAGCCCCCAGGGCUGGGCCACAGCUGUGCCAUCACACCCCCGGCCCCGGGGCUGACCCUUUGCUGACGUCAGCUCACCAGUGCCAGCUCAGCUUCCCUGCAAUGCCCUUGAUAUUUACAAGAGCUCCGUCUCCCCAGGAGGGGCGUCCUGUCUCGGGCCAGCAUGACCGCCGUCUCCCUGCUGCUGAAGGGGAGGGCCCCCUUUCUGUGGGCCUUGGCCUCUGUCUGUCAAAUGACGACGAGUUCUGUGGAUAGAACAAGGUUAGAAACGCCACCUGACAGAGCGGCCUGCAAUGCCCAUCACUGUCCUGGAGCCAGACAGGUGGAGGAGAGACCUCAGGGCUGGGCCGGGUCAGCUGACUCCAGAGUGGACACCAGGCAAUGCCCAGGGAGGGGACUCCUGGAAGAAGCCGGCCUCUUGACUUAGGGUUAAAUGUCCUCUGGUUUGAAGACACAAGAGUCUGCAUUUGCCCAAUACUUGGGGUUCUCA